Perca fluviatilis (European perch) is the source of this 383-nucleotide long non-coding RNA. RefSeq lists it as uncharacterized. The record is from RefSeq and is a predicted model, not a curated record. The transcript is spliced from 3 exons. NCBI's taxonomy places the organism in Eukaryota, Metazoa, Chordata, Actinopteri, Perciformes, Percidae.
CUUCACUAAUUUUAAAAUGGUAAAUGUUUUAUUUUAAAAAUAUUUUCAUGUUUACAUACAAUAUUUUCUGCGCAUCCUCAGUUCAUGUCCUCCAUCGGACCCACCUCAAUGACGUUAGUGAUUUCGGUUCUCCGCUUGAGUAACGUUAACAGGCGUGUUAUUUUGUGAAAGAACAGCGGCUCAAGGUACGGUACCGACUGUUAAUACUUCAGGGAGCUGAUGAAUCCAGGAUGGAUAUUUUUGACGAUGUCACUCUAUCGGUAUUGGAGGCGGCCAGUGUUGAUGAGGAGGCUUUGAAAGGCCUUAGCCGGGAUGACCUGAGGGAUCUUUUUCCUGGCCCUGAACAUUUUUUCAGAAGAAAGAAACUUUGGGAUUUCAUCAGU